Molecule: long non-coding RNA, 620 nt
Organism: Pungitius pungitius (ninespine stickleback)
Lineage: Eukaryota; Metazoa; Chordata; Actinopteri; Perciformes; Gasterosteidae
Exons: 5
Source: RefSeq, a predicted model, not a curated record
GACGUCACCAAGUCAGCUGCUGUUCCAAUUGCGGAAAUGACCGUUCUCCGUUCUCCCGAACCUGCAAGUCGGGACUCGCGAGUCUAUUCUCGCGGGAACUCGAGUGCGUUCUCGCCGUCUCAGGUAUUGAGAAAGGGCCACACUUCGCAUCAGCUGUCCCCUGGUUCCUUACCGUAGGCGAAGCGGAAAUCGGCAGGUUUUGCCGGCGGAGUGGAGUUCCGUUAAACUUCGUCGGGGAGGGUCUAACGCCUCAGCCUUUCCAGCUGUCCCCGUCAAACAUCUCUGACCCAGAAGAAAAGGCCUAAAAAAAUGUCUGAGGUGUAAAUGGUUGAUGGCCACGUCCAUGGACACGGAGUGGGUCAGAGGGUAUUCACAGCAGAAACCCAACUGAAUGGUCCUCUGGCGGCUGAUUAGACCUUUAUGAGGGUCCACAGCACCCUGGAUGGUGUUCUCAUAGAAGAAAUGAGUUCCGUUGCUCUUCAAAAGUCUGUGUUGACAGAGUAAAAGGCUGUGGACUGCACCCUGAGAGAUGUCCCACAAUGCUGGUCCUUAUUGUCAAAUUGGAACACCAGUCGUCCGCCCUGGAGAGUCCCGUUGCACGAGGCAUCUCGGAGGUGGAG